UACGUAGGGUGCAAGCGUUGUCCGGAAUUAUUGGGCGUAAAGAGCUCGUAGGCGGCUUGUCGCGUCGGCUGUGAAAACCUGGGGCUCAACCCCGGGCCUGCAGCCGAUACGGGCAAGCUAGAAUUCGGUAGGGGAGACUGGAAUUCCUGGUGUAGCGGUGAAAUGCGCAGAUAUCAGGAGGAACACCGGUGGCGAAGGCGGGUCCUCUGGGCCGAUAUUGACGCUGAGGAGCGAAAGCGUGGGGAGCGAACAGGG
This 255-nucleotide ribosomal RNA is filed under the name uncultured bacterium. RNAcentral's name for it is "partial 16S ribosomal RNA". It matches the Rfam family "Bacterial small subunit ribosomal RNA", at positions 524 to 777 of the family's 1533-position model. The record is from RNAcentral.